CGUUAGGAUGAACGCUGGCGGCGUGCUUAAUACAUGCAAGUCGAACGAAGAGCCCUUAAUCGAAGAUUCUGACGAGCUUGCUCUGAAGAUGAUUCACCCUAGGGCUACUGAGUGGCGGACGGGUGAGUAACGCGUGGGUAACCUGCCCUAGACAGGGGGAUAACAUCAAGAAAUUGGUGCUAAUACCGCAUAUGCUCACAGUAUCGCAUGAUACAGUGAGGAAAACUCCGGUGGUCUAAGAUGGACCCCGCGUCUGAUUAGCUAGUUGAGGGGUAACGGCCCACCAAGGCGACGAUCAGUAGCCGACUUGAGAGAGUGAUCGGCCACAUUGGGACUGAGACACGGCCCAAACUCCUACGGGAGGCAGCAGUAGGGAAUAUUGCACAAUGGGGGAAACCCUGAAUGCAGCGACGCCGCGUGAAGGAUGAAGUAUUUCGGUAUGUAAACUUCUAUCAGCAAGGAAGUAAAAUGACGGUACUUGACUAAGAAGCCCCGGCUAAAUACGUGCCAGCCGCCGC
Molecule: ribosomal RNA, 518 nt
Filed under: uncultured bacterium
Lineage: Bacteria
Description: bacterial SSU rRNA
Rfam family: Bacterial small subunit ribosomal RNA
Source: RNAcentral